CCAGACUCCUACGGGAGGCAGCAGUGGGGAAUAUUGCACAAUGGGCGCAAGCCUGAUGCAGCGACGCCGCGUGGGGGAUGACGGCCUUCGGGUUGUAAACUCCUUUCGUUAGGGACGAAGCCGCACUUUUUUUGGGUGUGGUGACGGUACCUUUGUUAAGAAGCACCGGCUAACUACGUGCCAGCAGCCGCGGUAAUACGUAGGGUGCGAGCGUUGUCCGGAAUUACUGGGCGUAAAGAGCUCGUAGGUGGUUUGUUGCGUCGUCUGUGAAAUUCCGGGGCUUAACUUCGGGGUGGCAGGCGAUACGGGCAUAACUAGAGUGCUGUAGGGGAGACUGGAAUUCCUGGUGUAGCGGUGGAAUGCGCAGAUAUCAGGAGGAACACCGAUGGCGAAGGCAGGUCUCUGGGCAGUAACUGACGCUGAGGAGCGAAAGCAUGGGGAGCGAACAGGAUUAGAUACCCUGGUAGUCCAUGCUGUAAACGGUGGGCGUUAGGUGUGGGGACCGGUUUGGUUUCUGUGCCGUAGCUAACGCAUUAAGCGCCCCGCCUGGGGAGUACGGCCGCAAGGCUAAAACUCAAAGGAAUUGACGGGGGCCCGCACAAGAAGGGCGA
This 611-nucleotide ribosomal RNA is filed under the name uncultured bacterium. RNAcentral describes it as "bacterial SSU rRNA". It matches the Rfam family "Bacterial small subunit ribosomal RNA", at positions 331 to 937 of the family's 1533-position model. The record is from RNAcentral.